Long non-coding RNA from Hevea brasiliensis (rubber tree), 287 nucleotides. RefSeq lists it as uncharacterized. The transcript has 3 exons. The record is from RefSeq and is a predicted model, not a curated record. NCBI's taxonomy places the organism in Eukaryota, Viridiplantae, Streptophyta, Magnoliopsida, Malpighiales, Euphorbiaceae.
GCGGUGGUUCCGGCGGUGGCUCCGGUGGGCUACGGAGGUGAUUCAACUUCCAGAGGCUUCCUCGUAAAUUUUUGGAAUUUUUGAGACACAGAUAAACUUCGGGUGAUCGAGGGCAGCUAUUUUUCUGCAUCCAGCAGCCACAAUAGUCAUCGGUGUACUGCCACAGGAGGAGUUAUUUUACAGAGCAACCUGUUUUCUUCCUUGCAGGUUUAACGUCGAUUAGUUAAUUGUUUUACUAUCUUUUCUAAAUUUAAAAUCUAGAACUCCGCAUGUGUUAGUAAUAGAGU